AGCCUUGUUUUGUGGCAGUAUUGUGGCCAGUGAGGCUUAUUCAAGGCACAAUUACUGCUGAUUGAAAAACAGGAAAAGAGGAAUCAUAAAAGUUAGGCAGCAAUGGC
Molecule: small nuclear RNA, 107 nt
Organism: Ochotona princeps (American pika)
Lineage: Eukaryota; Metazoa; Chordata; Mammalia; Lagomorpha; Ochotonidae
Gene: U4
Rfam family: U4 spliceosomal RNA
About the family: U4 small nuclear RNA (U4 snRNA) is a component of the major U2-dependent spliceosome.
Source: Ensembl